Molecule: small RNA, 178 nt
Filed under: Chrysemys picta bellii (western painted turtle)
Lineage: Eukaryota; Metazoa; Chordata; Testudines; Emydidae
Description: TUC338 (ENSCPBG00000000949.1)
Source: RNAcentral
UUGACAGCCUUGAAGAUGGAAGUCCUCUUUUUAGCCACAGAAGAGGUACAAGGAGAGCAGUGGCAAUGCAAGCUUCCACAAACUGCUCUGCCAAUGUCUCAGCUCAGAUCUAGAGAGUCCUAUCUUUAGCAGUAAUAGGAUAGUUCAGUCUUUAUGCCUAUUCUUUGCUGAUACUACC